CAGUCGCCACGGUAAUACGUAUGUCGCAAGCGUUAUCCGGAAUUAUUGGGCAUAAAGGGCAUCUAGGCGGCCAGGCAAGUCUGGGGUGAAAACCUGCGGCUCAACCGCAGGCCUGCCCUGGAAACUGCGUGGCUAGAGUGCUGGAGAGGUGGACGGAGCUGCACGAGUAGAGGUGAAAUUCGUAGAUAUGUGCGGGAAUGCCGAUGAUGAAGAUAGUUCACUGGACGGCAACUGACGCUGAAGUGCGAAAGCCGGGGGAGCGAACAGGAUUAGAGACCCCCGUAGUCCCUGUCUCUUAUAC
RNAcentral lists this ribosomal RNA (301 nucleotides) under uncultured bacterium. RNAcentral describes it as "partial 16S ribosomal RNA". It matches the Rfam family "Bacterial small subunit ribosomal RNA", at positions 509 to 807 of the family's 1533-position model. The record is from RNAcentral.